RNAcentral lists this transfer RNA (81 nucleotides) under Danio rerio (zebrafish). It matches the Rfam family "tRNA". From Rfam's summary of the family: Transfer RNA (tRNA) molecules are approximately 80 nucleotides in length. Lineage: Eukaryota; Metazoa; Chordata; Actinopteri; Cypriniformes; Danionidae. The record is from Rfam by way of RNAcentral.
GUAGUCAUGGCCAAGUGGUUAAGGCGAUGGACUAGAAAUCCGUUGGUGUUUGCCGCGCAGGUUUGGAUCCUGCCAACUACA